Molecule: ribosomal RNA, 800 nt
Filed under: uncultured bacterium
Lineage: Bacteria
Description: bacterial SSU rRNA
Rfam family: Archaeal small subunit ribosomal RNA
Source: RNAcentral
AGAGGACGUGGAUAACCUCGGGAAACUGAGGAUAAACCGCGAUAGGUCAUAAUUACUGGAAUGUGUUAUGGCCCAAAUCUAUAUGGCCUCUGGAUUGGACUGCGGCCGAUCAGGCUGUUGGUGAGGUAAUGGCCCACCAAACCUUUUACCGGUACGGGCUCUGAGAGGAGGAGCCCGGAGAUGGGCACUGAGACAAGGGCCCAGGCCCUAUGGGGCGCAGCAGGCGCGAAACCUCUGCAAUAGGCGAAAGCCUGACAGGGUUACUCUGAGUGAUUCCCGCUAAGGGAAUCUUUUGGCAUCUCUAAAAAUGGUGCAGAAUAAGGGGUGGGCAAGUCUGGUGUCAGCCGCCGCGGUAAUACCAGCACCCCGAGUGGUCGGGACGAUUAUUGGGCCUAAAGCAUCCGUAGCCGGUUCUACAAGUCUUCCGUUAAAUCCACCUGCUUAACAGAUGGGCUGCGGAAGAUACUAUAAAGCUAGGAGGCGGGAGAGGCAAGCGGUACUCGAUGGGUAGGGGUAAAAUCCGUUGAUCCAUUGAAGACCACCAGUGGCGAAGGCGGCUUGCCAGAACGCGCUCGACGGUGAGGGAUGAAAGCUGGGGGAGCAAACCGGAUUAGAUACCCGGGUAGUCCCAGCUGUAAACGAUGCAGACUCGGUGAUGAGUUGGCUUAUUGCUAACUCAGUGCCGCAGGGAAGCCGUUAAGUUUGCCGCCUGGGGAGUACGGUCGCAAGACUGAAACUUAAAGGAAUUGGCGGGGGAGCACACGGCUCAGUAACACGUAUAGGAAUUGGCGGGGGAGCAC